Molecule: non-coding RNA, 573 nt
Organism: Heterocephalus glaber (naked mole-rat)
Lineage: Eukaryota; Metazoa; Chordata; Mammalia; Rodentia; Bathyergidae
Source: RefSeq, a predicted model, not a curated record
UUUUAAUUUUCAGGUAUCAUUCUUCAUAGCCAUAUCAGUUUGUUAUACAAUUGGAAUCACCGUGCAGCAACUUUUUGUAUUUUCCUUGCUUUCCUCAUUUAUUUUUCUGCUUUGUUUUCAUUGACCUGGACCUAAAGGGAGGCUUAUGACUACUUUUAAGAAGAUUGUAAACCUCCGUUAAAAGAUAUAAUGUGUUUUCUACUUCAACCUCUGCUUAAGAGUGUUGGAUUCUGAACGGUUUUGGAAAUGGGACUGACAAACGAUGGCUGCGGCUGUGCAGAGCCAAGAUAAGAGGACGCUGAUGCAUAUGCUACCUAUGUGUGUGGAGCUGUAGAGAAACACAAAUUACCCGAGGAAAGAGUACUGCCUGCUUUGUAUGUUGCCUUCAUUCCUGAGAGGAGAAGAUAAUGAGCUAUUUGCCAAGAGCAGUGCAUGGCCAAAGGGGCUUCUGAGAUCAUCCAAGAAGUAUAGACCAGGAACAAUAGCUAUAAGGCCUUAGAAGGCAAUGGUGGACAUGUAGGAAGUGAUCAAUAAAUGCUCUUUGUUGAAUUGAGCAAUUUCAUGUCACAGUCA